This 64-nucleotide transfer RNA is filed under the name Scolytinae sp. BMNH 1039990. Its description in RNAcentral is "tRNA-Leu". The record is from RNAcentral. Lineage: Eukaryota; Metazoa; Arthropoda; Insecta; Coleoptera; Curculionidae.
GUUAUUUUGGCAGAUUAGUGCGUUAGAUUUAGGAUCUUUUUAUGUAGAUUACUUACAAAUAAUA